This 359-nucleotide unclassified non-coding RNA is filed under the name uncultured bacterium. Its description in RNAcentral is "contains 16S-23S intergenic spacer region". The record is from RNAcentral.
UCCGGUUUGACACCGGCAGUCUCCCUAGAGUGCCCGGCAUAACCCGCUGGUAACUAGGGACGAGGGUUGCGCUCGUUGCGGGACUUAACCCAACACCUCACGGCACGAGCUGACGACAGCCAUGCAGCACCUGUGCUAGUACCCGACUCUACGGGUCGCCGACCCUUUCGGGCGACUACUACCAGCAUGUCAAGCCCUGGUAAGGUUCUUCGCUUUGCAUCGAAUUAAGCCACGCGCUCCGCCGCUUGUGCGGGCCCCCGUCAAUUCCUUUGAGUUUCAGCCUUGCGGCCGUACUCCCCAGGCGGGGUACUUCCUGCGUUAGCGGAGAGGAAGGUGGGGAUGACGUGUAGGAGCUCGAC